This 1020-nucleotide ribosomal RNA is filed under the name Cytobacillus firmus. RNAcentral describes it as "bacterial SSU rRNA". It matches the Rfam family "Bacterial small subunit ribosomal RNA", at positions 50 to 1029 of the family's 1533-position model. The record is from RNAcentral. Lineage: Bacteria; Bacillati; Bacillota; Bacilli; Caryophanales; Bacillaceae.
GAUCCUUGGCAAGUCGGAGCGGACAGAUGGGAGCUUGCUCCCUGAAGUCAGCGGCGGACGGGUGAGUAACACGUGGGCAACCUGCCUGUAAGACUGGGAUAACUCCGGGAAACCGGGGCUAAUACCGGAUAAUUCUUUCCCUCACAUGAGGGAAAGCUGAAAGAUGGUUUCGGCUAUCACUUACAGAUGGGCCCGCGGCGCAUUAUCUAGUUGGUGAGGUAACGGCUCACCAAGGCAACGAUGCGUACCCGACCUGAGAGGGUGAUCGGCCACACUGGGACUGAGACACGGCCCAGACUCCUACGGGAGGCAGCAAUAGGGAAUCUUCCGCAAUGGACGAAAGUCUGACGGAGCAACGCCGCGUGAGUGAUGAAGGUUUUCGGAUCGUAAAACUCUGUUGUUAAGGAAGAACAAGUACCGGAGUAACUGCCGGUACCUUGACGGUACCUAACCAAAAAGCCACGGAUAACUACGUGCCAGCAGCCGCGGUAAUACGUAGGUGGCAAGUGUUGUCCGGAAUUAUUGGGCGUAAAGCGCGCGCAGGCGGUUCCUUAAGUCUGAUGUGAAAGCCCCCGGUUCAACCGGGGAGGGUCAUUGGAAACUGGGGAACUUGAGUGCAGAAGAGAAAAGUGGAAUUCCACGUGUAGCGGUGAAAUGCGUAUAGAUGUGGAGGAACACCAGUGGCGAAGGCCACUCUUUGGUCUGUAACUGACGCUGAGGCGCGAAAGCGUGGGGAGCGAACAGGAUUACAUACCCUGGUAGUCCACGCCGAAAACGAUGAGUGCUAAGUGAUAGAGGGCCUCCGCCCUUUAAUUGCUGCAGCAAACGCAUUAAGCACUCCGCCCUGGGGAGUACGGCCGCAAGGGCUGAAACUCAAAGGAAAUUGACGGGGGCCCCGCACAAGCGGUGGAACCAUGUGGGUUUAAUUCCAAAACAACCCCGAAGAAACCCUUACCCAGGUCUUGGUUAUCCUCCUGAACAACCCCUAAUAAAUAGGGGCCGUUCCCCCUUCCGGGGGAA